Ruditapes philippinarum (Manila clam) is the source of this 605-nucleotide long non-coding RNA. RefSeq lists it as uncharacterized. Lineage: Eukaryota; Metazoa; Mollusca; Bivalvia; Venerida; Veneridae. The record is from RefSeq and is a predicted model, not a curated record. The transcript has 4 exons.
GCAAUGGUUAGUAGUUGUAGCACAAGGCCAUGUCAAGCCAACCAAAGGUGUUAUCAUAAAGGAGAUUCCCAUGAGUGUAGAGAUAGAACUUGUGAUAUUGGUCAGGAAAUACACAAGGGAAAUUGCUGGUAAACGAACAUAGCCUCGAGGAUAAGGCUUCAGUAAAAUGUGACGAUGGAUACAUUCCUAGUCAGCCUGAGGUGAAAUGUCAAGCGUCUGGAAAAUGGGAAGCCGCAACUUGUAACAGAUUGAGCGACUGUAAAGAAAUUCUUGAAAAAUUCCCGGAAGCAAAAAGUGGUUUGUAUGAGAUAGAAUUAUGGACGUCUAGGAAGAUAUUGAUAGUGAAUUGUGACAUGGAGACUGACGGCGGCGGCUGGACGAUGUUUCAAAGGCGCUUCGACGGGUCCGUCGAUUUUUAUCGAAAUUUCUCAGAGUAUGAAAAUGGGUUCGGAAACGCAGAAGGAGAACUGUGGCUAGGUAGAUCCAUAAUUUAUGGUUCACUUGAGUAUUUAUAUUUAAUAUUAGUGAGCAUAAAUUGUUAAAGUAAACGAUAUAUGUUAUUAAAUUGUAUAUGUGUUCAUUAAUUAUACCCGGACAUUUGUACU